GAUGAACGCUGGCGGCGUGCCUAAUACAUGCAAGUCGAGCGAACAGACGAGGAUCUUGCUCCUCUGACGUUAGCGGCGGACGGGUGAGUAACACGUGGAUAACCUACCUAUAAGACUGGUAUAACUUCGGGAAACCGGAGCUAAUACCGGAGAAUAUAUUGAACCACAUGGGUCAAUAGUAAAAGACGGUUUUGCUGUCACGUAUAGAUGGAUCCGCGCCGCAUUAGCUGGUUGGUAAGGUAACGGCUUACCAAGGCAACGAUGCGUAGCCGACCUGAGAGGGUGAUAGGCCACAUGGGAACUGAGCACCGGUCCAGACUACUACGGGAGGCAGCAGUAGGGAAUCUUACGCAACGGGCGAAAGCUUGACGCAGCAACGCCGCGUGAGUGAUGACGGUCUUCGGAUCGUAAAACUAUGCUAUUAGGGAAGAACAAAUGUGUAAGUAACUAUGCACGUAUUGACGGUACCUAAUCAGAAAGCCACGGCUAACUACGUG
Molecule: ribosomal RNA, 497 nt
Filed under: uncultured bacterium
Lineage: Bacteria
Description: partial 16S ribosomal RNA
Rfam family: Bacterial small subunit ribosomal RNA
Source: RNAcentral